Molecule: unclassified non-coding RNA, 5313 nt
Filed under: Hevea brasiliensis (rubber tree)
Lineage: Eukaryota; Viridiplantae; Streptophyta; Magnoliopsida; Malpighiales; Euphorbiaceae
Source: RNAcentral
CGUGGCUUUUGCAAUGAGAUGAAAAUGAAGGAGGCUGAAAAUAUAUUGCAUGACAUGGAAAAGCAAGGAUUUGCCCCAGAUGUGUAUAUGUAUGGUGCUUUAAUAUCUAGAUUUUGUAUGGUUGGGAAUUUAUUCAAAGCUUUGGCUCUUCACGAUGAAAUGGUGUCAAAAGGUAUCAAAACAAAUUGUGUGAUUGUAAGCUCAAUUCUUCUAGGCUUGUCUCAUAUGGGCAUGGCUUCUGAAGUAGCAAAUCAAUUUAAGGAAUUCAAGGAGAUGGGGAUUUUCCUUGAUAAGGCUUGCUACAAUGUAGUGAUGGAUGCUUUGUGUAAGCUGGGGAAGGUGGAAGAGGCUGUGGCAUUGCUUGUUGAGAUGAAGGGUAAGCAAAUGGUUCCCGAUAUCAUCAACUACACAACUCUGAUUGGUGGUUACUGUCUUAAAGGUAAAGUUUUUGAUGCCUGGAAUUUAUUUGAAGAAAUGAAGAAGAAUGGACAUAAGCCUGAUGUUAUUACUUAUAAUGUUCUUGCUGGUGGUUUAUCGAGAAAUGGCCUUGCACAGGAGGCCCUUAAUCUUUUAAAUGACAUGGAGACCCAAGGUGUAAAACCUAACACUGUCACUCAUAAUAUGAUCAUUGAAGGCUUAUGUAUAGCAGGUAAAGUGGAUGAUGCUGAAACUUUUUUUGAUAAUUUGGAAGAGAAGUGCUUGGAAAGCUACAGUGGCAUGGUCAGUGGUUACUGUGAAGCUGAUCAUACGAAGGAGGCCUUUGACCUGUUUAUUAGGCUGGCUAAGCAGGGAUUUCUUGUGAAGAAAGCUUCCUACAUAAAAUUACUUCAAAACCUCUGUAUGGAAGGUGAUAAUGAGAAGGCUCUGUUGUUGCUUGACACAAUGUUGGGUAUGGAUGUCAAUCCUACCAAGAUCAUGUAUAGUAAAGUCAUAGGUGCACUUUGCUGGGCAGGAGAAAUGAAGAAGGCUCAACGUGUUUUUGAUGUUUUGGUCAAUACAAGUGUAACUCCUGAUUUAAUUACUUACACAAUGAUGAUAAAUGGUUAUUGCAGGGUGAAUCGCAUGAGGGAGGCCUGUCAUCUUUUGGGUGAUAUGAAAAGCAGAGGGAUUAAACCAGAUGUUAUUACUUACACAGUUUUGAUAGACAAUUGUUCAAAAGCAAAUUGGAAAAUGUCCCAUUCCAGGCCAGAUGGCAUGGAAAGUGAGGGAAAUAAAAUGGACCCUUUAGUUUUUUGGAGUGAGAUGAAAGACAUGGAUAUAAAACCUGAUGUUGUUUGUUACACGGUUCUAAUUGACAAACAUUGUAAAACAAACAACAUCCAGGAAGCUAUAAUGCUUUUUGAUGAAAUGAUUGAUAGAGGACUAGAACCCGAUACUGUGACGUACACAGCUCUUUUAUCUGGACAUUGUAAUGUGGGAGAUGUAGAAAAGGCUGAAGUCCUUAUUGAUGAAAUGAUACAUAAGGAGAUACAGCCAGAUGCCCAUACCAUGUCAGUAUUGCAGCGUAGUGUUUUGAAAGCUAGGAAAGUGCAUUUUCGGCAGUAACCAUUCUGGUUACUCAUAGUAGGUAGAUCAAUCAUAAAAUCUGUCUAAUCAAAUCCAGUUGUUUCAAGGUACAAUGAAACAAGUCAUGCUACUGAACAAGUGCACUUUUCAUACCCCGGAAAUGGUUCAACAAGACAUUUUAGUGUAUCGUUAUAUUGCUGAAGGCCUUAAGAAGGGAGGCUUUGUUACCAGCGGAAAGCAUCCUUUGCAGGUAAAGAAAUGCUGUAGACUACAUACUUUUGGAGUAUUUCAAUAUUUGUUUUCUUCUUUAUGAUUUUUUAUUUUCUAUAUAAGAUUGACACUUCUGAAUCGUUCUUUUUUCCUUUAUCAUUUUCUUAUAACUGUUUUAUAAGUUUCAUUUUAUGUAGGGGUUCUUUCAGUUAUAUACUUUUGGGUUUGGUACCACUUGCUAAUAUAAUCAACCCUGAUGCUCCUAUUCAUAAAUAUGAAAAUAGUCUUCUAGCCCAGGUGCCAAAUUUGUAUUAAUUUGAAUUGAAAUAUUUACAGUACAAUACUCUGUCCUCCUUGACUGAUACUGGAUGGAGAAAGCAAAUUGCCCCCUUUUUUUCGGUGGAUUGGCUAGGUAUUUGUUUAUAUCUUUAGUUUGUAUAAAGUUUAUGUUUACCAUAUGAAACUUAAGGGGAUCUAUUCGAAUUCUAGUAUGUAAUUUCUGAAUGUUGGCUAUUGUUGUUAUGUAGUAUAAUAAGUAACUAUGUAUUAAUUUGGGAUUUGAUUUUCCUUCGUCAGUCUUUCCUUUGGAACUUUGUUUGUUGGUCCAUAUGUUGGUGCUAAAACUACUUCAGUGAUUAAUGUGUGGAAAUGAGCUGGUGCUAGGGGCAUGGUUGUCUAUUGCAUGUUUACCUGAGAAUUAUUUUUGUCUUCUGUAUCUUUACUAAAGUAAGAUAUUAUCUCUUAUGCUCCAAAAAAGAGUAGGAGACUUGUAUUUUGCAGCUAUCUUCCAAUUCCUGCAAAUUUAGUUUGUCUUGAUUUUGAUGCCUAUAUCAUGUAAGUUAUUAUGCUGAUCCUCUACAGAAUACAUCUUAUUUGCAAGAAUAUUUAUCCUUAAUCCUAUAGUUCUGUCUAGUUUUUAUAAUAAGUUUAAAAUGCAUUAGCCAGCAUUAAGUAUCUCGAUUUCAUAAUGUUAAUGUUGAAAAGUUACCCACUUAACAUGCACACACAAAUUAGAAUAACAAUAAAAGAAAAGGAGAAAAAUGCUAGACAAGGAAUUUUAUAUGGUUUGGAAAUGUCCCUACAUCCAUAGACAGCAACCUGCAUUUUUCACUAUUAAGGAUAAAAUUACCAUCACCUAUUUAUAGAGUUGCUAGAGUUUUCCUUGUACAAGUAGGAGUAGGAGAAACUCAAUUGUACGAUCCACAAACUCAAGUCAAAACUAAUGCUAAAGUUCAAAUUUUAAUGUCAGUUAAGCCUAAUUUGUUGAUCUCAUUCUAUCCAUUAUGUUUGAGUUCCCAUAGGUGCUUAUGUUGAAAGAACUUGCAAACAAUAAAUAACCAUGUCAGCGAUUAAUAUUAGUUUUAGGUCGGGUACUAGUUGAUAUCUCUCUCUUCUUUUCAUUGUUGUCAUCAGUGAUAUCUCACAUAAAGAUAUUUGCCUAUAAAAUAAUUAGAAAGAUAUUAUUUAGCAAAUUGCAUCUUGUCACAUGGUAAUCAAAAUUUAAAAUUAUAUAAAGUAAAUAAGAACAUAUAAGAAAAAAGCAGAAAAAUUCUGAAAAACUUAUCAAUGAUACAAUGACAUUUAAUUAAAUUAAAGUUUGAAAAGGAAAAUGAAGAUUAAUGACAGAAAAUUGGAGAAAAUAAAUAAAAUUCAAAUCCAAUUUUAAUGUUUUAAAAAUUAGAUGUUUAUUUAUCAUUGUUGUAGUUGAUUAUAGACCACUACAUGGACAUUAUUCAUUAAAAAUUUCAGUAAAAUGGAAGAAAAUUCUGAAACAUUAAGGAAAACCAGAUAUAUCUCAAAUAAAUGAAGAAAAAACUUUAUUUAACAAAAAUAAAGAAGCUCUUGGAACCUAUAGAUUUUAUAUUAAAUUCUUGAAAUAUGUAAUUUUGACAUUUCAUAUGUUAAAUUGAAAUAAAAGAAAACGUUAUUAAUGAAUGCUGACAAAUAAUAGUAGUUUAAAACUUUAGUUGAAUGUAAAUCUGUUGUGAAUUAUGACAAAAAUAUAAUGUAAUAUGUGAUCAUGAGUCCAAAUCUAGAAAUGAAAAUUCUUGGGAAUUUUAAGUAUUUCUUAGGAAUGGUUUACAUUGGCAAAACGUAGGAAUCUUAUAUUCAUAGGUAGUAGUAGGCAUCAUAUUAAUGCUAUUAUCUUCUACCAAAUGCCACCUUCAUUUUCCUUCUCACUUUCUGAAUCCUAAUGAUGUCUGUGCCUCAGAAUAUGUGCAAAGAGUGUGAUUCAAAUGAAGUGUUAAGGAUGUGCAAUUAACUGCAUUCAUGUGAUAAGGUAUUUGUGAUCAGGUGGUGUCCAGACAAGUUUAAUGUGCACCUUAACUAUUCCAACAAUACUUGCAUGUCUAUUUUACCAAGUUGCUUUAGUACUUUUGAAAGUUUAAAAUCAUGACUUCUAAUCACAAAGGCUGAAAUGCAUUUCUUAGCCAGUUUUGAAAGUUCCAUUUGUCUUUCUUGUGCAUCAAAUGCAGCCUUGGUGUCAUUCCAUUUCUGAGCGUCAUAUGUCAAUGCCCAUUACCCUUGAGCAAGGUUACUGGUCAAAGUAUCAAAAGGCUAUUGCAAGAUUAUACUUCCCUGGAACGCGUCACUUACUGUAGGCAAAGCAAGAUUGUCAUACAGGUGGAAUAUGACUCUUCUUCUUGUUUGGAACUGGAGGAGGAGGUGGGCUUGGCAAGGGUUUGCUGCCUAGUUUUCUCAUCUUCAUUUCUGCAAGAUGACCAAAUCAAAUGUGUAAUCUUAUACAUAUAUGCUAACUUGACAAGAUUAAAGUUGAAAAUCAAUCAUAAAUAUAUAUAUAUUUUUGUGCAUUAAGUUUUGAGUAUUUCACUAGUAGUUUGACUCAUUUGCAUACCUAAUUAGAAUUGUAGGCAUAAACCAAAUUAUAGGCGACUAAUGAGGGUCUUGAGUCUCUAGUUAAUUGAUGUGUUUACCCCAAUUUCUUUGUGAAUUCAUUCAUAAUAAAAAAUAUCAUGAUUAAUUUUACUAUUCUAAAUCAUAUUUUUUAGUAGUAUUUUAUAUAUGUUCAGGUAAUUCUAAACUAUACAUUAAUAAUAAUCGAAGUACAAUUAUGAAAUAUCAAAGUAAAAACAUCUGUGCCCCUUGCUGCUUAAUUUUUUUUUUUAAAAGCCACUACUAAAUUUACUAUUGAUCUACAAUUAUCUUUUUCAUGAGGUGAUAUUUGCUACUGAUUACUCUGCAGAAAGGAACAUUUUGCAGCUGAUCAACUUAUGAAAGACAUAGCUUUGCAGAAUAAAAUACAAACCUGCGUUGACCUCAGUCAUCUGCACGGACAAGAUGGAAGCUAUGAAUGCAAGAACUACAAGGAAUCGGAAGGAGAAAGAUAGACCCAUUUUGAUUAUUGGCUAUGAAAUUUGGCUGUUAGCUCUUGCUUAAUAUGGCAUGAAUAUAUAAGCAUCGUUCCUGAGGACUACAAAAGGAGAAUUGUUGUAACGCCUCAUUUUUUAUUGUCCAUUAUUAGCUUUAGCGGGGCAUUGCGUAUGUAAUAAUGACCCCCCUUCUUAAAAUUCACACCUAAUCCAUUGACCCAUCUCCUCAUUUCGUUAUGGACAUCAAUUUUUUAAGUCUAAAGAA